RNAcentral lists this ribosomal RNA (351 nucleotides) under uncultured bacterium. RNAcentral's name for it is "bacterial SSU rRNA". It matches the Rfam family "Bacterial small subunit ribosomal RNA", at positions 917 to 1269 of the family's 1533-position model. The record is from RNAcentral.
GGGCCCGCACAAGCGGUGGAGUAUGUGGUUUAAUUCGAUGCAACGCGAAGAACCUUACCAGGGUUUGACAUCCUGCGAAUCUCUUGGAAACGAGAGAGUGCCUUCGGGAACGCAGUGACAGGUGGUGCAUGGCUGUCGUCAGCUCGUGUCGUGAGAUGUUGGGUUAAGUCCCGCAACGAGCGCAACCCACGUCGUUAGUUGCCAGCAUUUAGUUGGGCACUCUAGCGAGACCGCCGGUGAUAAACCGGAGGAAGGUGUGGAUGACGUCAAGUCAUCAUGCCCCUUACAUCCUGGGCUACACACGUACUACAAUGCUACGGACAAAGGGCAGCAAACUCGCGAGGGGGAGCU